RNAcentral lists this ribosomal RNA (527 nucleotides) under uncultured bacterium. Its description in RNAcentral is "bacterial SSU rRNA". It matches the Rfam family "Bacterial small subunit ribosomal RNA", at positions 28 to 526 of the family's 1533-position model. The record is from RNAcentral.
GACGAACGCUGGCGGCGUGCCUAAUACAUGCAAGUUGAACGCUAAAGCUUUAACUGGUGCUUGCACCGACUUAAGUUUUUAGAGUAGCGGACGGGUGAGUAACACGUGGGUAACCUGCCCAUCAGAGGGGGAUAACACUUGGAAACAGGUGCUAAUACCGCAUAAUUCCUUUUACCGCAUGGUAAAAGGCUGAAAGGCGCUUCUGGUGUCACUGAUGGAUGGACCCGCGGUGCAUUAGCUAGUCGGUGGGGUAACGGCCUACCGAGGCGAUGAUGCAUAGCCGACCUGAGAGGGUGAUCGGCCACAUUGGGACUGAGACACGGCCCAAACUCCUACGGGAGGCAGCAGUAGGGAAUCUUCGGCAAUGGACGAAAGUCUGACCGAGCAACGCCGCGUGAGUGAAGAAGGCCUUCGGGUUGUAAAGUACUUUCAGCGGGGAGGAAGGGAGUAAAGUUAAUACCUUUGCUCAUUGACGUUACCCGCAGAAGAAGCACCGGCUAACUCCGUGCCAGCCGCCGCCGUAACAC